This 107-nucleotide small RNA is filed under the name Epilithonimonas zeae. RNAcentral describes it as "Chryseobacterium zeae Flavo-1 RNA". It matches the Rfam family "Flavo-1 RNA". Lineage: Bacteria; Pseudomonadati; Bacteroidota; Flavobacteriia; Flavobacteriales; Weeksellaceae. The record is from RNAcentral.
CACUAGCCCCGAUAGUAGCGGCAUCCUUUUUUGUUUUUUCUUGUAAAUUUCUACUGAUGACAAAUCGUCGUAAAACAAAAAAGAUAUAGCGGAUAGCGGGAAAUAGC